UACAGAGGGUGCAAGCGUUGUUCGGAAUUAUUGGGCGUAAAGGGAGUGUAGGCGGCUUGUUAAGUCUUCUGUGAAAUCUACGGGCUCAGCCUGUAAAGUGCAGUGGAAACUGGCGAGCUUGAGUGUCGGAGAGGAUAGGGGAAUACCCGGUGUAGAGGUGAAAUUCGUAGAGAUCGGGUGGAACACCAGUGGCGAAGGCGCCUAUCUGGCUGACAACUGACGCUGAGACUCGAAAGCAUGGGGAGCAAACAGG
This 253-nucleotide ribosomal RNA is filed under the name uncultured bacterium. Its description in RNAcentral is "partial 16S ribosomal RNA". It matches the Rfam family "Bacterial small subunit ribosomal RNA", at positions 524 to 776 of the family's 1533-position model. The record is from RNAcentral.